Long non-coding RNA from Anser brachyrhynchus (Pink-footed goose), 2632 nucleotides. NCBI's taxonomy places the organism in Eukaryota, Metazoa, Chordata, Aves, Anseriformes, Anatidae. The record is from Ensembl.
CCCCCGGCCUCGCCCCGGCUCCGGGCGGCGGGGGCAGGCGGGUCCCGCCGGGGGUGCCCGGGCCCCGCUUCCAGCCCCGGGAGGCGGCUGAGGGCCGGGCCUGGCAGCGCGGCGGGCCCCGGGGCCUGAGGGGGAGCGCGGCGGGGCCGUGCUGCGCCCGGGAUUCCCAGCGAGCCCGCUUAGCGCCGGUCGGAGCGGUCCCGGAGCUGCUCCGGAGGCCCCGGCAGGUUCCCAGCCAAGGCUGGGGUCACUGGCAUGUAAAAGGAUCCCAGCUCCAGAGGUUCAGGGAAGUAGGCAGGGCGUACAGAUUCCACAUCUCUGAGGGAGAUUUGUUCUCUCCAGAAAUCUCAGGAACCAAUUCUGCAACUGAUAUGAACGCUGCAAGGGUGGCAGCCCCCAAACCCAGGGGUCUCUUCAUCAUUACUUUUAGGCUGAGAGUGCACCAUGAUUGUACGAUCUAAGCAUGCAGAUUUCUGGCGGAAUAGACCUGACUACAGUUGACAGGAAAAUGAUCAUAGCUGCAGCUGUUCAGUAAGCAUGGGAAGUCCGAAGCUGUCUCCAGCAUCUCUUCUCCAGCAAAUUGCACAUCUGAUACACCAGAGGACUUUUCUACAUCCAUGGACAACUUUUCAAGUUGGGAGGAUGCAGGAAUGCUGUGCAAACAGAGUAUCCCUGUGAGCAGUUCCUCAUAACCAUUUUCUCAAGCAGUUGUGGCUGCAGAUUUUCCCAUUCAGCACCACUGCCUGCUCAGACCUGCCCCUGCCACCCUUUCCACGGUGUGAGCACAGCUGCCUGUGGUGCCUUGCAGGAAGCCAGAUAUUGCUUUUUUUUUUUUUUUUCUGAAGUUAUUUUUAACCUGGCUCUGUUCAUUCAUGUAGCUUGUCAUGUGGCGCCACAAAAAGUGCCAGGCACUGUGAUAUGGAACAGGGAGCCAGUGGCAAGGGGUCCUGGGUGUACCUUAGGCUGUUGUUACUGCUGAAAACAGCAUAUCAAAUCAACUGUGGCCUGAAGAAUCUGAUUUAUUAUGGUGGUAAAUCCAGGUUUUGGGCACCGAGUCUGAGAUUAGAAACAGCAUAGUCCUUUUAAGCUACAAAGCUCACUCUGCUUCUUAAAUGCAUUCAAUUUCUUUCCAUGAGUAUCAUUGCCCUUGAAAAGGUGCUGGCUCAGAUAUUGUCCCCCUCCAUUGGUUUAACUUAGUGCUGGAUCACAUCUGAUCUAUCCAUAGCUCACACAAAUCUAGCAUAAAAUCCUAAAGAUAGCAUUAAACAGUAUAUUGUCCAGUUUUGCAGAACACAAUUACAUGGUCACACCUGAUCUGGUUCCGUUGUGCACUUCCAUUUACUCCAGAAAUGCAGAGGUCGGGUAUUACUAAUCAUGGAACCAGAAUUACAAGAAAAACAAGCUCAUUUUCAUAAACCUGAUAGGCAUUCAUAUUGCCAGCAAAAAAUGUAUAGGGGCUCAAAAACUGCAAAAUAGUUGAAAAGAGUCCAGACAACGUACAUCAGUGCUUGUACUGUAAGUUCUUCUUCCAUUUCUAGUGUUGCAGAAGCUUGUCUAAGCCACAAAGUUUGCAUGUAUGCUACAGUUCUCUAAGGCACAUUUUUAAUCCUACUUUCUUGACUUGAAUUAUAUGCAGAUAAAAGCUCAGACCCCCGUUUGUAUAUUAUACCUGUAAAUUCAUAUAUAACACACAUAUUUAUAUACAUAUACAAAUAUGUUUUAUAUGUACUUAAACUUUCUGCACAUGUGAUCACACAUAUUUAACUUCAUACGCUGCGUGUGUUUUUGUUAGAAGAAGGAGCACAGUCAGUUCCCAGCACAGGUAGUGCAGCCUUCAGCUGAGACUGUAUAGCAGCCUCAGGCUCAACAGCCUGGCAGGAAAACCUGAAAAUCCUGCUGCAUCCCACAGGUUUCUGUGACUGAUAGAAACACCAUCUCUGCUGAGGCGUUAGAAGUUCCCAAAGAAGGAACCUUUCCUUCACUCUUUUAAACUCACUAAAUCGUUACACAACUGAAUUUUCAGUCUUUUUGAUGCUAAACUUGAAAUAUGUUAUUGCCACACACAGACCAAACGAGCUUCAAAUAAGGGGUAUGAAACUGAAACUGAUGGGAGUUUUAUUACCUGGCUUUAAAGAGGCUGACAUUUCUCCCCAAGGUUGCUAAACCAUCGGCUUUUAUAAAUUUUAUUCUAAAAGAAUGUUUAUAUAAAGUCCAAGUUUGUAGGUAAGGGAGCUAGUGAGAAUGAUGCUGUUGUGUCCCAUAGUUAACAGUACAGUGAUAUCAUAUCUAGCAGUGACUUUAAAAACAGUCCUACUGCUGCCUUAAAUUCGGUGAAUUGUUCUGUAUUUGGUCUAUUCUGGGAGCAAAGUAGAACAGUCAAUACAUAUGUGCCAUGAAAUCUAAUUUUUUGUUUUGUUUUGUAAUUGAUCUGUUGAUUUGAUCUGUUUUGUAAUUGAUCUGUCGCAGCAGCUGGAAACUUCAGAAAAGAACAACAAAGGGACUGGAGACACCAGAGAGAAAUGUCCUGUAGGAUGUCAAGGCUUACAUUUAUUGUUCUCACUGGUGAUCUCAAAGAAUGGACAAAAAUUAGAGGACAGCAAAUAAUAAACGCAGCCUGGAGAUAUUAGAAACA